AACGAACGCUGGCGGCAGGCCUAACACAUGCAAGUCGAGCGAAGCCUUCGGGCUUAGCGGCGGACGGGUGAGUAACGCGUGGGAACGUGCCCUUUGGUACGGAAUAGCCCCGGGAAACUGGGAGUAAUACCGUAUGUGCCCUUCGGGGGAAAGAUUUAUCGCCAAAGGAUCGGCCCGCGUUGGAUUAGGUAGUUGGUGGGGUAAUGGCCUACCAAGCCGACGAUCCAUAGCUGGUUUGAGAGGAUGAUCAGCCACACUGGGACUGAGACACGGCCCAGACUCCUACGGGAGGCAGCAGUGGGGAAUCUUAGACAAUGGGGGAAACCCUGAUCUAGCCAUGCCGCGUGAUCGAUGAAGGCCUUAGGGUUGUAAAGAUCUUUCAGUGGGGAAGAUAAUGACUGUACCCACAGAAGAAGCCCCGGCUAACUCCGUGCCAACAGCCGCCGCCG
This 449-nucleotide ribosomal RNA is filed under the name uncultured bacterium. Its description in RNAcentral is "partial 16S ribosomal RNA". It matches the Rfam family "Bacterial small subunit ribosomal RNA", at positions 29 to 523 of the family's 1533-position model. The record is from RNAcentral.